GACGAACGCUGGCGGCGUGCCUAAUACAUGCAAAUCGAGCGGGGAUUAUGCUUGAUCGCUUCGGUGAGACGGCAUAUAUCCUAGCGGCGGACGGGUGAGUAACGCGUGGGUAAUCUACCUCGUAGUUCGGGAUAACAGGCCGAAAGGCUUGCUAAUACCGGAUGAGUUCAUGCUUAUGCAUAUAGGCAUGAAGAAAGGGCUAGCCCGCUAUGAGAUGAGCCCGCGUCCCAUUAGCUUGUUGGUGGGGUAAUGGCCUACCAAGGCAACGAUGGGUAGCCGGCCUGAGAGGGUGUACGGCCACACUGGGACUGAGAUACGGCCCAGACUCCUACGGGAGGCAGCAGCUAAGAAUAUUCCGCAAUGGACGAAAGUCUGACGGAGCGACGCCGCGUGGAUGAAGAAGGCCGAAAGGUUGUAAAGUCUUUUGCUAGGGGAGAAUAAGUGAGGAGGGAAUGCCCUCAUGAUGACAAGGACUAGCGAAUAAGCCCC
RNAcentral lists this ribosomal RNA (489 nucleotides) under uncultured bacterium. Its description in RNAcentral is "bacterial SSU rRNA". It matches the Rfam family "Bacterial small subunit ribosomal RNA", at positions 28 to 494 of the family's 1533-position model. The record is from RNAcentral.